This 687-nucleotide long non-coding RNA is filed under the name Rhipicephalus microplus (southern cattle tick). RNAcentral's name for it is "uncharacterized LOC119176461, transcript variant X2". Lineage: Eukaryota; Metazoa; Arthropoda; Arachnida; Ixodida; Ixodidae. The record is from RNAcentral.
CAUGAGAGUGGUGCCUGCACUUACAUGUAUGAAUGCUGCUGCUAGUGCAUACAAGUUCAUUCAACCAAAUAAAGGCUCAGUUUAAACAUAGUAAUUAUUAAGAGCAAGUGAAUUCUGAAGCUACAAAAGUGGCCAUGUUUUCUUGAGGCUUAUUUAUUCUAUAUUAUAGACAGUUUCAAGGUUGCAAGCAUUGUACCCCAAAAAACUUCUGGUCACCUCAUUUCCCAGCUCCCAAUGUCGAAACUGAAAGCACGUUUUCAAGUUCUUUUCAAGGCUGGAAAGCCAUUCAAGAACCUAGAAGUUGAAGGGAGAGAUGCAAACCUUCGGACACAGUCAGAGACGGACAAGUACCUAACACUGACAAGUGCAUCUGUUUUACUGCUUGGUGACAACUCGCUUCUCAUUUGAGGUAUGGGAGAACAGGCUUGCUGGAGAAGUCCUCAUGCGAACACUGCUCAUGAACUGGUUCACUUCGGACGAUGCUCCACGAUUUGACUCACAUCAUUUACCGUGCCUAAGUUCUGUCUAAAUCUGAUCCACUAGUGGGACAAAACUUGACUAUGUUCUGUCCGCCAUGAAGGAUGAGAGGCCCUGCAGACUAUCGGCAAUAAAGAAGUGAGCUGCAGACCUGAAAGCUGAAUCCUUGCAUACACAGUAAUGCAGUUCACUAACACACAAGCACAUCAA